GCUUAUGACCAGACCUUUGCCUUGCGGAUCAUCCGGUGUUCUCACCGGUGCACUUCGCUUGGUUGAGGCCAGCAUCGAUUUUGGCAGAGGGAUAAAGGCGUUGGGAAUGUAUCUCCUCCGGGAGUGUUAUAGCCCUUCGUGUAAUACCUUUGCUGGGAUCGAGGACCGCGCUUCGGCUAGGAUGCUGGCAUAAUGGUCAUCAGC
Molecule: ribosomal RNA, 204 nt
Filed under: Idriella sp.
Lineage: Eukaryota; Fungi; Ascomycota; Sordariomycetes; Xylariales; Microdochiaceae
Description: partial large subunit ribosomal RNA
Source: RNAcentral